RNAcentral lists this long non-coding RNA (2672 nucleotides) under Sus scrofa (pig). Its description in RNAcentral is "lncRNA (ENSSSCG00005025563.1)". The record is from RNAcentral. Lineage: Eukaryota; Metazoa; Chordata; Mammalia; Artiodactyla; Suidae.
GAAGUAGGUUUGUUAUGGUGAAUCUUCCCACAUUUGUUUGUCCAACAUUGUCUUUAAUUUGCUCUUACUCUUGAAGGAUAUCUUUGCUUGUUGCAGAAUUAACAGGUGGCAGUUUUUCCUUCCAGUACAUUUGAAUGCAUCAUUCUCCUGUUUUCUGGCUUCUCUUUUAUUGAGGAUUUAGCUCUCAGUCUAGCCAUGGCUCCUUUGAAGAUAAUUUGUCUUUUUUAUUGGCCUUUUUAAAUGAUGUAUCUGUUUGGUUUUGGUUUUCUUCACUGUCUCUGAGUCAAGAUGUAGAUUCCCCACCCCCCGCCCCAUCUAUCUAGCUUGGGUUUUGUUGGGCUUCUUGAAUCUAUAUAUUGUUUGUUUGUUUUUCAACAUUGCAUAAAAUUCUCAGCUAUUAUUUUUUAGAUAUUGACUGUGACCCGCUUCCUUCUCUCAAGGUUCCCGUGAUGUCAGAUCUCUGUCCUCUUUAUACUUCAUUUGUAUACCCAAGAAAUUUCUAAAUUUAGUAACUGUAUCUUUCAUUGCUAGGUACUCUAUCUGGAUCUUUUGAAAUCUAUAUGACUUCCUCCCCCUACAACAUUUUGUUCUUAAAAAUUUCCAAAUCUAAAGAAAACGCAAAGUAAUAGUACCCAAAUAGCCUUGACUUAGAGUCAUCAGGGUUUUGUUUUUUGUUUUGUUUUUUUUUUUUGGUUUUUUUAGGGCCACACCCAUGGCAUAUGGAGGUUCCCAGGCUAGGGGUCUAAUCUGAGCUGAAGCUGCCAGUCUACACCACAGCCAUGCCAGAUCCAAGCCCCAUCUGCAACCUACACCACAGCUCACGGCAAUGCUGGAUCCUUAACCCACUGAGCAAGGCCGUGGAUUGAACCCGCAACCUCAUGGUUCCUCGUCAGAUUCAUUUCCGCUGCGCCAUGACAGGAACUCUGAGCCAUCAGUUGUUCAUGUUCUGCCACAUUUGCUUUUGCUUCAUCUUUCUCUCUCCUUUUUUCUUGAACUUGAGACUCAGUUCAAGAAAACCCGCUUUACUUGAGAGCACAUUUGUAAGUUACAGAAGGGAAAUAUCAUGAUGACACUGCUCCUUUAGUAUAUUUACAUAUUUCCUAAGAACAUUCUUUCACAUAAUCGUGAUACUGUUAUUACAGUCCAUAAACUGAAAAUUGGUAAAGUAUUUUCUAAUAGAUUCCGUAUUCAUAUUUCCCCCAAUUUUCAAUAAUGUCUCUUGUUGUCUGUGUGUGAGUCAAGGCUGGAUCCUUAUUAACCCACUGAGCAAGGCCAGGGAUUGAACCUGUGUCCUCAUGGAUACUAGUCAGGUUCAUUAUUGCUGAGCCACACUGGGAACUCCAGGACAUUAACAUUUUUGAAGAGUCCAUUUGUUUUACAAAACUGCUGUAUAAUUUUUUGGUUAUAGAUUUCUGUGUCCUGAAGAGAUCAUCAAGCUUGUCAGUUAGUACUCUAAACACAGCAGUUGUAGUUGUAUUAUAGUCUGUAUCCAUUAAGUCCCCUAUAUGAAAUCUUUGAUGAUCUUUCUGCUGUUAAUUUUGCUCAUUGGGUCUUGUUUUCUUGUUUUCCAGUUUUUGUUCCUUAUUGUUUUUGAAAUAUUAUUUGUAGGGAUUUUUUUUUUUUUUUCUUUUGAGGGAUGCACCUGCAGUGUAUGGAGAUUCCUGAGUUAGGGGUUGAAUUGGAGCUGCAGCUGCCAGCCUACACCACAGCCACAGCAACAGUGACUUACACUGCACUGCAGCUUGCGGCAAUGCCAGAUCAUUAAUCCACUGAGUGAGGCCAGGGAUCAAACCCACUUCCUCAUGGAUACUGGUUGGGUUCUUAACCUGCGGAGCCACAAUGGGAACUCCUGGGAUUUUUAUCUUUUGAGAUCUGGUAGAUGGUGCCUUCCUCCACAGGAGAUUUAUAUUCACUUCUGACCAGUCCCAGUCUGGGACUACCCUAAAUCUAGCUCAUGGCUUGAAAUUGGGUGGACAGUUUAAAUGGCUGGGAUCUGGGCUGCAAAUGUGAGUCAGGAGUGACCCUACUUUUUGUGGUAUUUUUUUCCCUUUUUCUUUUCUUUCUCUCAUUAGCACCAUGACAAAUUUUACAUUGGCAUUCUGGCGUUGGUGAUGGAAUAGCCAGCUUUAAUUAUGGGCCCCAGCCUAAGGUGAAAAAGAUCUCUCAUUAUACUUCCCAUCUUGAGUGAACUCUAAUCAUUGAUUUCUGUCUCAUUGCCCAGCCAGGCCAACAAAACGAAAGCCCAGAUUUUUCUGGACUAACAAAUGCCCAAGGGCAAACUAAAACUGUAAGUUCUAGUGCUUUGCUGUUGCCUCUGGUGUUUGAUUUCCUUUGGAUUUUAGUCUGGUAAUUACUUACUAUCUUGAUAGCUCUUUAAUACUUUUCUUUCUCUCUCUGUUGUUGUUAUUUUAUUUUAUUUUUUUGGCUACACCUAUGGCAUGCAGAAGUUCCCAGGCCAGGGAUCGAACCUGUGCUGCAGCAGUGACCUGAGCCACUGCAGUAGUGACCUGAGCCACUGCAGUGACAAUGCCGGAUCCUUCACCUGCUGUGCCGCAAGGCAACUCUGAAAGCUCUCUAAUGCUUUCAAGGAGUUUAAACCUUUUUUUUCCACCUGGAAUUUUUAGUUGUGUCCACGUGAAUUGUUGGUUCAACUGUUAGCUACCAUUACUGGA